This 460-nucleotide ribosomal RNA is filed under the name uncultured bacterium. RNAcentral describes it as "partial 16S ribosomal RNA". It matches the Rfam family "Bacterial small subunit ribosomal RNA", at positions 338 to 795 of the family's 1533-position model. The record is from RNAcentral.
CCUACGGGAGGCAGCAGUGAGGAAUAUUGGUCAAUGGGCGUAAGCCUGAACCAGCCAAGUCGCGUGAGGGAUGAAGGUUCUAUGGAUCGUAACUCUCUUUUAUAAGGGAAUUAAUUGUGGGAUGUGACCUAUUUUGUCUGUACCUCAUGAAUACGGAUCGGCUAACUCCGCGCCAGCAGCCGCGGUAAUACGGAGGAUCUGAGCGUGAUCCGGAUUUAUUGGGUUUAAAGGGUGCGUAGGCGGCAUAUUAAGUCAGCGGUGAAAGCCUGUGGCUCAACCAUAGAAUUGCCGUUGAAACUGGGAGGCUUGGGUAUGUGUGAGGCAGGCGGAAUGCGUGGUGUAGCGGUGAAAUGCUUAGAGAUCACGCAGAACCCCGAUUGCGAAGGCGACCUGCCAGGCCAUGACUGACGCUGAUGCACGAAAGCGUGGGGAUCAAACAGGAUUAGAUACCCGAGUAGUC